AUUGAACGCUGGCGGCAGGCCUAACACAUGCAAGUCGAGCGGAUGAAGGGAGCUUGCUCCUGGAUUCAGCGGCGGACGGGUGAGUAAUGCCUAGGAAUCUGCCUGGUAGUGGGGGAUAACGUCCGGAAACGGGCGCUAAUACCGCAUACGUCCUGAGGGAGAAAGUGGGGGAUCUUCGGACCUCACGCUAUCAGAUGAGCCUAGGUCGGAUUAGCUAGUUGGUGGGGUAAAGGCCUACCAAGGCGACGAUCCGUAACUGGUCUGAGAGGAUGAUCAGUCACACUGGAACUGAGACACGGUCCAGACUCCUACGGGAGGCAGCAGUGGGGAAUAUUGGACAUUGGGCGAAAGCCUGAUCCAGCCAUGCCGCGUGUGUGGAGAAGGUCUUCGGAUUGUAAAGCACUUUAAGUUGGGAGGAAGGGCAGUAAGUUAAUACCUUGCUGUUUUGACGUUACCAACAGAAUAAGCACCGGCUAACUUCGUG
This 484-nucleotide ribosomal RNA is filed under the name uncultured bacterium. RNAcentral describes it as "partial 16S ribosomal RNA". It matches the Rfam family "Bacterial small subunit ribosomal RNA", at positions 30 to 507 of the family's 1533-position model. The record is from RNAcentral.